UACGUAGGGUGCGAGCGUUAAUCGGAAUUACUGGGCGUAAAGCGUGCGCAGGCGGUUUUGUAAGUCUGUCGUGAAAUCCCCGGGCUCAACCUGGGAACUGCAUUUGUGACUGCAAGGCUAGAGUACGGCAGAGGGGGAUGGAAUUCCGCGUGUAGCAGUGAAAUGCGUAGAUAUGCGGAGGAACACCGAUGGCGAAGGCAAUCCCCUGGACCUGUACUGACGCUCAUGCACGAAAGCGUGGGGAGCAAACAGG
This 253-nucleotide ribosomal RNA is filed under the name uncultured bacterium. RNAcentral's name for it is "partial 16S ribosomal RNA". It matches the Rfam family "Bacterial small subunit ribosomal RNA", at positions 524 to 776 of the family's 1533-position model. The record is from RNAcentral.